ACAACCCUCGGAGAAAGAGAGGAGAGAGAGUGAGGGGGGUUCUGGUCACCGUCUUUGUCUAUUUAUUAUUUAUUUUAUUAUUUCCGGAAUCCUGCGAGAAAAACGAAAAAACCGAGAAAAAUGGGAGAAAAACCGGAAUCUUAGGCGGAGAUCGUCUUCGAUUCGUCGGCGGAGGACAACGCAGGAGAUCGAGGUCGGGGAGCAGGCGGCGGAGGAGAGGGAGAAGCGGCAGCGGCGAUGGUGGUGUAGAUGAAACCCUAGGGAGAGUGAAGGAGGGGAGGACGGCGAAGGAUGAGAUCUUCUUUCUUGUGAAUGGAAACCGUAGGCCGGAACGGCAGCGGCCUCCUGACCGGAUCCGCGGGCACCUCGCGAGACGAUCCACCGGCGGCAUUGGGCUUCGGCGCUUGCCUUCUCCGGCGGCUGACGGGAUCCCCUCCGCCACGGGAUCGGUGGUUUGUAGGGUUUUAAUCGGUUCUUUUUUCCUUUUCUGUUUGAUUUUUGUGGGGUGGGUUCUGGGAGGGAGGGGAUGGGGAUAUCCGACGGCGGAGAGGGAGGAGGGAUCGGCGUGGACUGCUCGGUGGGGACCAUCGUCUGGGUGCGGCGGAGGAACGGCUCGUGGUGGCCGGGGAGGAUACUCGGCCCGGAUGAGCUGUCGGCGUCUCAUCUUAUGUCGCCGAGAUCAGGGACGCCGGUCAAGCUCCUCGGAAGGGAGGACGCAAGCGUGGACUGGUACAACUUAGAGAAAUCCAAACGUGUCAAGGCAUUUCGAUGUGGGGAGUUUGAUGCUUGUAUUGAGAGGGCCGAAGCUGCACAGGGCAUUCCUAUCAAGAAAAGGGAGAAAUAUGCACGCCGAGAAGAUGCUAUCCUUCAUGCUCUAGAGCUUGAGAAGAAGCAGCAGAAGUCAGGGGCUGCCUCGAACAGUAUGGCGAAUAAACCUUCAGCUAUUAUGAAAAAAGAAUUUGAGAACUUAUCUUCAGAAUUGUGCAUGAGAAAUGAUGAGCCUCGAGUACAUGGUAAAUAUACAAGCCACAAGCCUCAGAUGCUUUCAAGAAGAGCAGGUUUGUCCCAUGAAGAAGAUAAUAUUGGAAAUCCCAUGUAUUUAGACAAGGGAAAAAAUAGUAACCAAUUUGUGUUUGAAGAGGAUAUUCCUGAAAAUGUUCCUAGGAUGAGAGGUUUGCAGGAUUUUGGCCUUCGAAUAGCUCCAUCAAAGAGAAAGCUGUCUCAGUCUGUUGACAAUCACAUGGAUAUUUCUAAUGCUGGGCAUACAGUGGGAGUUGCCAGUCAUGGUGGUAGCAGCAAAAAUUCCUUCCCCAAUAAAAAGAAAAGAUCACAGGGGGGUAUGGUUGAGGAGUCGCUUGUUAAAAAACGUGAUAGGCGUCGACCACUUAAUCAGGUUUUGCAGAGUAGUCCAAAAUUAACCGCUCCUCAUUCUUUUCAGCCUGAUCAUGAUAGUGGUGUUGUUUUAUUGCACGGAGAAAAGGACCAUAUGGCUAGUAUAUGUCGGGCAAGAAGGAGCAGAUGCAUCUAUCUACCUGCUGAUUCAAAUGACUCUCUUGAUCAUGGUGGAUAUCCUUCUGAACAAACACCAGCAACACUGUUUGGAAGGGACAACUGCCUUGAGCACCCUGCUACUUCAACAGAUGAAUAUACAUCUUCUGAGCUGAUGGAAGUAGAUGACUCUGAUUUUUCUGGAAAGGCAUACCUUGAAACUGAUGUUGAAGAGGAGGCUGAUCUGUUAGAAGAUACUACAGUGUCAGGAGCGAAAGGCUGUGAGCCCUCUGCAUAUCAAGUUUCUGAAAAAUUCACAAAUGUGGACGAUAAUGAGGUGGCCCUUUCUAGUUUACAUCCUCAGGAGCACACUGCAGAUGUUUCUGCUGAGAUAGGAGUCUCCAAAUGGCAUAUGAAAAGGAAACGCAACAUUCGUAAUAUAGCAAAGCGCAGUGGUUCUGUAAGAGGGACAACAUAUGAAAACAAGGGAAGGGAAGCUUCUAGCCAGAGGACUUCAGUACGCGACUUCUACCAUAAAAGGGAGUUUAACUAUGCUCGUGAUGAAGUUGAUUUGAUUGGUAAGGAUGUGGGUGGUGCAGAAUUGACUGGGUAUGGUAAUCGAAGAUAUUCCUCUGUUCUGAAAGCAGCCAGAGAUCGUGGGAGAAGUCACAUUAGCUUCAAAGAUUCUGACAAUGAUUCUCAUAUGAUUUCCCCAUCAGUCUGGAAAUCUGGAGGCCCAUAUCAUGUGGCUCGUAGGGCAUACCAGGAAGAUUCUGACGAGUGUUAUGAGACAGUUUAUGGUGCUCGUCUCAGUGACAGGACGAGGCCUAUGCUGUUUGAUGUGGAUUUGAAGGUUCAAGCAAGUUAUCAAGGUGAGCAUGUUCCUCUGGUUUCUCUGAUGAGCAGAUUGAAUGGCAAAGCAAUUAUAGGACACCCUGUUCAAAUUGAAAUACUCAAAGAUGGUUCCACUGAUCCACUUGUUUCUAGAAAUGUUUUUGGUCUGGAUGAAAAUACAGCAUGCCCACCUGUCUGGAGGACUGCAAGAAGAACUGCCAUGCAACGAGUUCCUCGUUCUAACCCAUCAGCCUUGGAUGGUGAAGAUGCUGGUGGUCUUCAAUAUAGAGACAGAGAAAGCAAACCUCCACUUAAGAAAUAUUCUGGUCAUUUCAAUCAACAGGCCAAGUUGGUGAAGAAGAGUAUCUCUCAGGCCCGCCAGCCAGCAUUAGGGAAGUCCCAGAAGAAGAGUUCUAGAAGAGCACCUCCAUCUAGUCAGAAAACUAGAACUCUAUCUUCUAUUGGAACUGAAUCGAAGUUCAGUGGUGAGAACAGGGGUGCAAAACCUGUUCCGGGUAUUAGUAUUUUGGGUGAUUUGAUUAAACCAGAGGGGACAGUGCCUCUGGUCACAUGUGUCCCUGUGAAGGUGGCCUUUAGUAGAAUUCGUGAAGCAGUAGGGAGGUCAUCUUUGGCUGAUCGUGUAUGGGUGGCCAGUCCAGCUGUGAAGGAUUAGUCUAGUUGUAGAUGGCAAUUUUGGCCACCCUUUGCUUGCAAAGCCUCAUGUACAAUUAAAAGUUUACAUAUCAAAUUUUCAGUAAAAACAUUUAUCAUUAGGUAGGUGAUGCAAGUCUCUCCAAAGCUUAAUCCGGUGAUUCUGUUUCACCAAUGCCUUGCAACUGAACCUGAUAGGCUGGUGUACAAUGUAUCAUGGCAAUCAUAUGUUUCUAUUCUGAUGGAGAUGGCGACUUGUGUAGUUGGUCUAUCAUGGCAGGGUGCUCCAAAGUACAGCAUGUGUUGCUGAUCUGGUAUUUCGACCUUUGGGUUGGCUGACUUGAAUCUCUGUAAAGUGCUAACUGCACAUUUAGCAUAUUAGCUGGUUCUGCCUUUUGAUAUACAUAUAUACCUGAUAGAUACCAGUUUAACUUAUUGCCAUUGUCUAGCUGCUUCAAGUGUGUACUGGGGUCAUCAUUGAAGAAAUGGGCCGAAUGUUAGCUAUUUGCAUUUGUUACCCUGUCGAAGAAUCUUCUUUUCUGCAUAAGAGGGACUGUUGGAAAAUCUUGUACUUCUGCUUCAGGUACAAAAUAAUGCACAAGGCUUGAUGGCAGUGCAGGAGCACCUUGAGUAGGCAAUCAAUGACCGUCAGGCAAGGCAAUGGAACUUGCAUUCCAAGCUGGUGGUAUUGUCACAAGGAAUCUCAGCUAAAUUGGCUGCAGCCAUGCAGGCAACGUGAGAAGAUGAGUCAUGAUAUUGGUUAUUGAUAAUCUUAUUUAUUUACACUGCUGAAAAAUUUGAGGAUACCCUGGUCUAUUGGUCGCACAGUUGCAGGUGGCCGGAGUAGUAAAAUUCUAAGAUCAACUUUUAGAAAGGCUGAUACAUUGCAUUGCUUUAGAUCUCACUCAGAGAUACUAAGUAUUUUGUACAUGUUCUGCUGAUAGGGCACCUAUCAGAGGUCCAAACUGACAAAGAACAUACUCUUAUCAUGACUAUAAUUUUGGGUCAGAAUGAUGCAUGCUCUAGCUUGUCAAUA
Phoenix dactylifera (date palm) is the source of this 4009-nucleotide non-coding RNA. The record is from RefSeq and is a predicted model, not a curated record. Lineage: Eukaryota; Viridiplantae; Streptophyta; Magnoliopsida; Arecales; Arecaceae.